UAGAGUUUGAUCAUGGCUCAGAUUGAACGCUGGCGGCAGGCCUAACACAUGCAAGUCGAGCGGUAGAGAGAAGCUUGCUUCUCUUGAGAGCGGCGGACGGGUGAGUAAUGCCUAGGAAUCUGCCUGGUAGUGGGGGAUAACGUUCGGAAACGGACGCUAAUACCGCAUACGUCCUACGGGAGAAAGCAGGGGACCUUCGGGCCUUGCGCUAUCAGAUGAGCCUAGGUCGGAUUAGCUAGUUGGUGAGGUAAUGGCUCACCAAGGCGACGAUCCGUAACUGGUCUGAGAGGAUGAUCAGUCACACUGGAACUGAGACACGGUCCAGACUCCUACGGGAGGCAGCAGUGGGGAAUAUUGGACAAUGGGCGAAAGCCUGAUCCAGCCAUGCCGCGUGUGUGAAGAAGGUCUUCGGAUUGUAAAGCACUUUAAGUUGGGAGGAAGGGCAGUUACCUAAUACGUGAUUGUUUGACGUACCGACAGA
RNAcentral lists this ribosomal RNA (481 nucleotides) under Pseudomonas sp. 01WB04.1-73. RNAcentral describes it as "bacterial SSU rRNA". It matches the Rfam family "Bacterial small subunit ribosomal RNA", at positions 1 to 485 of the family's 1533-position model. The record is from RNAcentral. Lineage: Bacteria; Pseudomonadati; Pseudomonadota; Gammaproteobacteria; Pseudomonadales; Pseudomonadaceae.